Long non-coding RNA from Orcinus orca (killer whale), 601 nucleotides. RefSeq lists it as uncharacterized. Lineage: Eukaryota; Metazoa; Chordata; Mammalia; Artiodactyla; Delphinidae. The transcript is spliced from 2 exons. The record is from RefSeq and is a predicted model, not a curated record.
CACUUUGUUAUAAAGCAGAAACUAACACACCAUUGUAAAGCAAUUAUACCCCAAUAAAGAUGUUAAAAAAAAAAAAGAAUAAAAUACAAAUACCGUAUGCUAACACAUAUAUAUGGAAUUUAAGAAAAAAAAUAUGUUAUGAAGAACCUAGGGGUAAGACAGGAAUAAAGACACAGACCUACUAGAGAAUGGACUUGAGGAUAUGGGGAGGGGGAAGGGUGAGCUGUGACAAAGCGAGAGAGAGGCAUGGACAUAUAUACACUACCAAACGUAAGGUAGAUAGCUAGUGGGAAGCAGCCACAUAGCACAGGGAGAUCAGCUCAGUGCUUUGUGACCACCUAGAAGGGUGGGAUAGGGAGGGUGGGAGGGAGGGAGACGCAAGAGGGAAGAGAUGGGAACAUACGUAUAUGUAUAACUGAUUCACUUUGUUAUAAAGCAGAAACUAACACACCAUUGUAAAGCAAUUAUACUCUAAUAAAGAUGUACAAAUUUUAAAAAAUAAAAGAAUUAAAUAAAAAAAAAAACCCAGCAUAUACUUCUUUCUUCCAUGAGAUUAAAAUGAACAAUUAGAAAUUCCAAGAAUAACAAAAAUGAACAAAAA